Molecule: long non-coding RNA, 1522 nt
Organism: Cercocebus atys (sooty mangabey)
Lineage: Eukaryota; Metazoa; Chordata; Mammalia; Primates; Cercopithecidae
Exons: 3
Source: RefSeq, a predicted model, not a curated record
GCAGGAAUCACUCUCCAGGAAACAGAAGAUGCUGGGGAGCAGAUCUGAUUCUAGUGUGACCCAGAAGAGGACUAAAAACAGAGCCUGGAAAAUUGGAUCAAGUUUCGAUUGAUCUCAGCAACCGACCGGCAGCCUAAAAGAACAAUGAGGUUACAAGCUCAUUUCUCUCAAAUACCAGCAAUUCACCUCAUCAUGGGGUGACAAAAAUAGAAAGUCUCUCCACCAUGAAGGCACUAAGUCUUUUUGGCAAGACAAGUAUGCUCGGCCAUCGCCUGCAUGUCUGGAUUGCAGCCUGACUUGGGAAACUGGGCUGCACACUAUUUCUCAUGCACCACUUGGCCAACUUGUCCCUGACUCCCUCAUGGCGUAUCUGAGAAAAUGAGAUAGGACUAAAGUACAACAUGGUAAAACUAAAUUUUGAGAUUUUGAUAGACACAAUAAAAACAUCUUAUCACCUUGGCUUGAUUUUUCUAAGGAGCUUUGUCUCUUAUGUCGCCUCUUCAAUUCCAGGGAACAGGCCAAUAGGCCUUGACCACACAAGGUGCCCCAGGCCAAUCUUUGCUUCUAGGCACCUACAAGUCUGUAAAGAGGAGUGACAGCAGGCCCCUUAUGGAUCAAGGGAGAAGAUCCUUGGGGAGGGAGUUCGGAAACUCCCUCGGGAUUCUAUCUAUGCUUCUCUGAGAGAUAGCCUGAGAAGAGGAGUCAAAACUUGGCCCUAUGAGGCCAUCUGCUGCCAAAGGAAUCCAUCAGCAUUCUAUCUGAAUGGGAUCCUUUGGCCGAGACUGAACAGUAUAAGAAACUAGUAAGGAAAUAAUUUUCUACUUUAAUUUAUAGGUGAGGGGGUGGAAUUGAAUAUGUUUGGAACUUACAUGUAAUAACUAGAGAUAAUUCACAUUCUAAUAAGAGGCAUUUUCUUUCCCUAGGAAACGAAUAUCAGUAUUUGCAUUUAAUAAACAUUUACCUUCUCAGAAAAAUGGAUUUUUCUCUCUGCAGAAGAGAUUUACGCCAAGCUAGAGGGUACUAUUAAAGCAACUUUCUUGAGAUGUUUUUUGACUGGCGCCUGUCUACGUACGUAUGACUAUAACAUACAUCAGUGUUUUUAUGGAAAUAUAUACAGUGAGGCAUGAAAACCAGGAUGCACCCAAGUAAAGCAUAUUCCAUCCCCAAAAUAUAAGCUGUAUAAGGAAUUAAUAUCUAUAGGGACUAUAUGAAUACUUCUGGUUUAAAAACUCAUCUGAUCUAUAGACAUUGUGAAAAUUGUGUUUGAGGCAUACUUUCAAAAGGAUUACAUUGGAAAUGAAAUAAUUGAUUCUGUUUAUCCAUUUCAAAGUUAAGGAAAGGUUCUUAAGACAGAACUGAUUCUUUUCUUUACAUGUUAAGUCCAAAACAAGUUGUGGAGGUUUUAGGAACUGAAUAUAGCCUAACAGUGCCAGGAUCACUUUAAGUUCUCAGGCAGUGGAGGUAUAUAUAUAUGGCUGUAUAGAUCUAAAAGAUUUUUUUUUGAUUAUUAUUAUACUUUAAG